Tachysurus vachellii is the source of this 791-nucleotide long non-coding RNA. RefSeq lists it as uncharacterized. The record is from RefSeq and is a predicted model, not a curated record. The transcript has 3 exons. NCBI's taxonomy places the organism in Eukaryota, Metazoa, Chordata, Actinopteri, Siluriformes, Bagridae.
UAAGGCUAAUAUAGAGUAAAUAACCACUGACAAAAUGUGUUAAAGCGUCUGUAUUUGGCUGACCGAGUGUUAUUACUACUUUUAUUUAUUUAUUUGUGUAUAUAAUCUGUACAAGAGUAAAGUUUACGACUUGUUUCUUCUGAGUGCUGCACAGAGCAGCCGAAGCUACGCUAAUUCUCGUGACUAUCUGACUGCUUUCCUACAGUAAACAUUACGUUUAGUUUAGUUAACGAUGUGACUGGGAGGAAUUCAUGGACCAGUUGGGACUUACCUCGGACGUGCUUUGGAGUAUCGUUGCUAUGGGGAUAAAGGAUAUCGCUGCUGUUCGGUAGAGGAGGGACUACAGAAAGAUGUACAGCUUCAGAGGAGGGAAUUUCGUGUUCCAGCCGCCUGGGAAUCUGUUCAGGAUGAGGAGUGGGGAAUGUUUUUGAUCUUAAUGUUUUUAAGAUCAAAAACAUGAGUACAGAUAAAAGUUGUCUCUGAUGGAGAGGUUAACAGAGAAAGAACAAAAACUCAGAUGGAGUUACCAUGUGGACUGACGAACUUGGGGAUCACGUGCUACCUGAAUGCCACAGUGCAGUGUCUCCGCUCAGUGCCUGAACUCAGAACCUAAUUACAGAACCGUCAUUUACUGUGUGUGGAGGAACUUGAGACAUUUGUAUGUGUGUGUGUGCAGGUAUUCUGGUGCGUUGAGGUCCUCUGGAGCAAAUGCGCCAUCUCAAUACUUCACAGCAGGUCAGUGUGUUAUUUUCAGGACAGAAAUGUGGGCGGUGCUACAAACCAUGCUGACC